UGCGCAGGCGGGCUAUUAAGUCGGUGGUGAAAUCUCUCGGCUCAACCGAGAAACUGCCAUUGAAACUGAUAGUCUUGAGUAUGGUUGUGGUAGGCGGAAUAUAGCAUGUAGCGGUGAAAUGCUUAGAUAUGCUAUAGAACACCGAUCGCGAAGGCAGCUUACCAAACCAUUACUGACGCUCAUGCACGAAAGCGUGGGGAGCAAACAGGAUUAGAUACCCUGGUAGUCC
This 229-nucleotide ribosomal RNA is filed under the name uncultured bacterium. RNAcentral's name for it is "partial 16S ribosomal RNA". It matches the Rfam family "Bacterial small subunit ribosomal RNA", at positions 568 to 796 of the family's 1533-position model. The record is from RNAcentral.